GUAAGUUUGGAUUCAAGAAUAUUUUAAAAUAUUUUUUCGAAGCAUGAAAAUAAAAUUAUGCUUAAUCAAUCUUGAAAUUUAUCUGCAGCUUAUUACUUGAAUCCGAGAUUUCAGUAUACUAUUACGGGGAUAGAUAUGGAUAGCGAGCUUCUUACUGUUCUUCGCAAUGUCAUAUAUAAGAUGGUGCCCGAUCCAGAAAUCGCGUCGUUGUAUCUGCAAGAGGUAUGCUAGUUUAAAAUAGAUAUAAUUAUUCAACUGAAUUCGAUCUGAUAUAUUUAUAAAUAAUAAAUAUAUUUUAUUUCAGACGAAACAGUUUAGAGAGGGAUCAGACAGUUUUGGAGUCCCAUCAGUUGUCGUAAGCAAAAAGCAGAUGAAUCCAGGU
This 382-nucleotide long non-coding RNA is filed under the name Elaeis guineensis (African oil palm). RNAcentral describes it as "long non-coding RNA (EGUI_LNC082572)". Lineage: Eukaryota; Viridiplantae; Streptophyta; Magnoliopsida; Arecales; Arecaceae. The record is from RNAcentral.